CAAGUUUGAUAAAAAUCAUCAUUGUUAUCAGUGAACUUCAGUUUUUGAUGUUGUGAACUUUCUUCAAACAGGCCUAUCUUCUCACAGCAGAUAUAUGGACCUUUUUCUUCAGGUUUCACCUUACCCUAAGCCUUAAGGUGAAAGAGCCCACAUGACCAAUAAAGAGGUUAAACGGCCUUCUGGUUUCACUGAAAUUCAUGUUGGGGGAAUUCUGCUGAAGAGCAGAGAGAGAGAGAGAGACUGUGGGAGCCAACCUUGACAGCCAAACCACAAUGCCCUUACACAUUGUAACCCCACCUCUCCGGGGUGUACUCUUCUAAGAAUGACAACGGCUAUCUGCUGAUACCCCCUCAACGCUCUGACACUUGCAGACCCACUUCCUGUAAUUCGUUGUAUUAAUCAGUGAAGCUAUCCUGCAACAGUUAAUCAAUGAUGUCAACACUUCAACGGCUUUGCUCUGUACCAGUAAGGAAUGCCACAAUUGUGGUUUACAUUGAAGAGAUGGUGAUAUAAUGUCAUAAAAUGGUAUAAAGAAAAUUUACCAUUGAGGUUCAGCUUUUGAUUCACAUAAUAUGAAAUGUUAGAUUAGAUGGUCCUCUAGCAGCAAAGAUGAUGAUCAUGACUGGCUAAUUCAAACUCUGUUCCUUUUGCAGUAUAGGACCUCAAUCAGCGAAAAGGAAACAAAGGGUGAACUUCAGAUCUUUCCCAACAUCCAUCUUCCACGAGUAUGAGUUUUUUUUUUUUUAAAGACUUCAAAGACCAGCCUAGAACGUCCUCAGAUGAGUGAUCUUUCUAAACGUGGCCAGGCUCAACUAGUCUCGGCUCAACCCUGCCUGACCUCACAUGCCUUUUCACACCAGUUGUCAGCGCACAUGCAUACGCCCUGCCAGCUUGCUAACAGUGUGUAUUCAUGUGUGCCAUAUUGAUUUAGAUGCGACAAGAGCUAAAUCCUCUCCAUCCCUUUCAUGGGUCAGGGAUGCCUCUCAUCCAUGACCCUGAGAAUUUGUCAUCUAUGCUGCAGCUUCUACUCCCAACCAGUUUGUCAUUUAGUUAAGGAAAUAUAAGUGGUCACGCUCAGUUUGUGCCCUGUAAUCUUAUCUCGAAGAGGCCUGUGUUUAAAGAAAAACUUUAGGAGCUGUGACGGACCCACCCAGACACCUCCUGUCUCAGAUGUUCUGGUUACAGUAAAGGUGUAAUUAUGAAGCA
Non-coding RNA from Pimephales promelas (fathead minnow), 1206 nucleotides. The record is from RefSeq and is a predicted model, not a curated record. Lineage: Eukaryota; Metazoa; Chordata; Actinopteri; Cypriniformes; Leuciscidae.